RNAcentral lists this ribosomal RNA (468 nucleotides) under uncultured bacterium. RNAcentral describes it as "partial 16S ribosomal RNA". It matches the Rfam family "Bacterial small subunit ribosomal RNA", at positions 28 to 507 of the family's 1533-position model. The record is from RNAcentral.
GACGAACGCUGGCGGCGUGCUUAACACAUGCAAGUCGAACGGAAAGGCCCUGCUUUUGUGGGGUGCUCGAGUGGCGAACGGGUGAGUAACACGUGAGUAACCUGCCCUUGACUUUGGGAUAACUUCAGGAAACUGGGUCUAAUACCGGAUAGGAGCUCCUGCUGCAUGGUGGGGGUUGGAAAGUUUCGGCGGUUGGGGAUGGACUCGCGGCUUAUCAGCUUGUUGGUGGGGUAGUGGCUUACCAAGGCUUUGACGGGUAGCCGGCCUGGGAGGGUGACCGGCCAAAUUGGGACUGAGAUGCGGCCCAGACUCCAACGGGAGGGAGCAGUGGGGAAUAUUGCACAAUGGGCGGAAGCCUGAUGCAGCAACGCCGCGUGCGGGAUGACGGCCUUCGGGUUGUAAACCGCUUUCGCCUGUGACGAAGCGUGAGUGACGGUAAUGGGUAAAGAAGCACCGGCUAACUCCGUG